Molecule: ribosomal RNA, 497 nt
Filed under: uncultured bacterium
Lineage: Bacteria
Description: partial 16S ribosomal RNA
Rfam family: Bacterial small subunit ribosomal RNA
Source: RNAcentral
GAUGAACGCUGGCGGCGUGCCUAAUACAUGCAAGUCGAGCGAACAGACGAGGAGCUUGCUCCUCUGACGUUAGCGGCGGACGGGUGAGUAACACGUGGAUAACCUACCUAUAAGACUGGGAUAACUUCGGGAAACCGGAGCUAAUACCGGAUAAUAUAUUGAACCGCAUGGUUCAAUAGUGAAAGACGGUUUUGCUGUCACUUAUAGAUGGAUCCGCGCCGCAUUAGCUAGUUGGUAAGGUAACGGCUUACCAAGGCAACGAUGCGUAGCCGACCUGAGAGGGUGAUCGGCCACACUGGAACUGAGACACGGUCCAGACUCCUACGGGAGGCAGCAGUAGGGAAUCUUCCGCAAUGGGCGAAAGCCUGACGGAGCAACGCCGCGUGAGUGAUGAAGGUCUUCGGAUCGUAAAACUCUGUUAUUAGGGAAGACCAAAUGUGUAAGUAACUAUGCACGUCUUGACGGUACCUAAUCAGAAAGCCACGGCUAACUACGUG